AAAUUGAAGAGUUUGAUCAUGGCUCAGAUUGAACGCUGGCGGCAGGCCUAACACAUGCAAGUCGAACGGUAACAGGAAGCAGCUUGCUGCUUUGCUGACGAGUGGCGGACGGGUGAGUAAUGUCUGGGAAACUGCCUGAUGGAGGGGGAUAACUACUGGAAACGGUAGCUAAUACCGCAUAACGUCGCAAGACCAAAGAGGGGGACCUUCGGGCCUCUUGCCAUCGGAUGUGCCCAGAUGGGAUUAGCUAGUAGGUGGGGUAACGGCUCACCUAGGCGACGAUCCCUAGCUGGUCUGAGAGGAUGACCAGCCACACUGGAACUGAGACACGGUCCAG
This 337-nucleotide ribosomal RNA is filed under the name Escherichia coli. RNAcentral describes it as "bacterial SSU rRNA". It matches the Rfam family "Bacterial small subunit ribosomal RNA", at positions 1 to 334 of the family's 1533-position model. The record is from RNAcentral. Lineage: Bacteria; Pseudomonadati; Pseudomonadota; Gammaproteobacteria; Enterobacterales; Enterobacteriaceae.